This 293-nucleotide ribosomal RNA is filed under the name uncultured bacterium. Its description in RNAcentral is "partial 16S ribosomal RNA". It matches the Rfam family "Bacterial small subunit ribosomal RNA", at positions 505 to 796 of the family's 1533-position model. The record is from RNAcentral.
GUGCCAGCCGCCGCGGUAAUACGAAGGGGGCUAGCGUUGCUCGGAAUCACUGGGCGUAAAGCGCACGUAGGUGGGUCAUUAAGUCAGGGGUGAAAUCCUGGAGCUCAACUCCAGAACUGCCUUUGAUACUGAUGAUCUUCGAGUCCGGGAGAGGUGGGUGGAACUGCGAGUGUAGAGGUGAAAUUCGUAGAUAUUCGCAAGAACACCAGUGGCGAAGGCGGCUCACUGGCCCGGUACUGACACUGAGGUGCGAAAGCGUGGGGAGCAAACAGGAUUAGAAACCCGAGUAGUCC